This 481-nucleotide ribosomal RNA is filed under the name uncultured bacterium. RNAcentral describes it as "partial 16S ribosomal RNA". It matches the Rfam family "Bacterial small subunit ribosomal RNA", at positions 30 to 507 of the family's 1533-position model. The record is from RNAcentral.
UUGCACGCUGGCGGCAUGCCUUACCCCUGCAAGUCGAACGGUAACGGGCCUUCGGGUGCCGACGAGUGGCGAACGGGUGAGUAAUACAUCGGAACGUGCCCGAUCGUGGGGGAUAACGAGGCGAAAGCUUUGCUAAUACCGCAUACGAUCUACGGAUGAAAGCAGGGGACCGCAAGGCCUUGCGCGGACGGAGCGGCCGAUGGCAGAUUAGGUAGUUGGUGGGAUAAAAGCUUACCAAGCCGACGAUCUGUAGCUGGUCUGAGAGGAUGAUCAGCCACACUGGGACUGAGACACGGCCCAGACUCCUACGGGAGGCAGCAGUGGGGAAUUUUGGACAAUGGGCGCAAGCCUGAUCCAGCCAUGCCGCGUGCAGGAUGAAGGCCUUCGGGUUGUAAACUGCUUUUGUACGGAACGAAAAGCCUUCUUUUAAUACAGGAGGGUCAUGACGGUACCGUAAGAAUAAGCACCGGCUAACUACGUG